UUUUCCUGCGUGCAUGAGAUUUUUGUCUUCUAGUCUUUCACGACCGUGAGACAUGAUCGCGGGUGUGUUUUGAUAUUACGAUCUAUAGAGAAGCCACGUACGCGUUACGUAAUGCAGUAGCAAAUGCCAAAUUAUUUCACGCGCAUCGGCAGAAAUCGUUGCCAACUACGUGCGAAACGCCGGGCUCGCCGCCGCCGUCGCCUCCACCGCCGCCUCCGACGUGUUUUGGCGAUGCUUGGCGCUGUAACACGAGAAGCUUUUGGCGAACAUGUAGAAACGCGAAUUGCGGAUUCUUUCCCCAAGUAACUUUUUCCGAGCGUUAUACGACCAUAAGCGCUAUUAUUAAGAGAGUGCCAAUGUCGAGCAGCGGCGACCGUCGCGGAUUUAGCGACAGCUUUCACGCGCAAACUGUCAGAUAUUCGACAACAUUCUCGUGCUAUCGUAGUCAAAUAAUUUCCCGCGCGAACGUUUUGUUGACAGAAUUGGAAAAAAAUGCGUCCACGAGGAUUAGCUCCGAUGAGGAAGAGAAGAAGAGAGAGCAUCGUCGUACGUCGCUGGUAAUCCGAGGCAAAUUAUUUGGGCGUUCUAUUUCGAGAAGGUGCCUUUGCGAAACCCGCGCGAGCCGGGUCGGGCCUCGCUCGCCACGAUGAUGGCAGCGAUUUCGACGGCGACGUCGUCUUCACGGGACCCACGUUUUCUUUCCGAGACAAAUAAUGCGGCCGCGCGUAUCCGGUUUGCGAUCCCGUUGAAACGAAGUCAAAACGAUUUCCGUCGACCAGCGCGGACAGAAAAAUAUUUAGACGCGCAUUUUUGGAGGCUGCAUAAAAGAUGUUAGGGCGCGUUUAACGUGAUUUAUGAGUAACUAUGGACAAUGUGAGCACGCGAGCCUCAUCGCGGCAAUAAAUAUUUUCAUCAGCAGACCGAUCAAACUCGUGUAAAUCGACAAAAAUACGUAUCUCCUCCUACUUACGAGAUAGGAAUGAAUAUGGGGAAAAUACGAAG
Acromyrmex echinatior (Panamanian leafcutter ant) is the source of this 1002-nucleotide long non-coding RNA. Lineage: Eukaryota; Metazoa; Arthropoda; Insecta; Hymenoptera; Formicidae. The record is from RefSeq and is a predicted model, not a curated record.